Molecule: ribosomal RNA, 320 nt
Filed under: uncultured bacterium
Lineage: Bacteria
Description: bacterial SSU rRNA
Rfam family: Bacterial small subunit ribosomal RNA
Source: RNAcentral
GACGAACGCUGGCGGCGUGCCUAAUACAUGCAAGUCGUACGCAUUGAUAAUGGAACUUGUUCCAUUUGACGUGAGUGGCGCACGGGUGAGUAACACGUGGGAAACCUACCCUUCAGCGGGGGAUAACCGUCGGAAACGAUGGCUAAUACCGCAUAGGUCUUUGAGUCACCUGACUUAAAGAGGAAAGACGGCUUCGGCUGUCACUGAAGGAUGGUCCCGCGGUGCAUUAGCUAGUUGGUAAGGUAAUGGCUUACCAAGGCAAUGAUGCAUAGCCGACCUGAGAGGGUGAUCGGCCACACUGGGACUGAGACACGGCCCAG